RNAcentral lists this ribosomal RNA (479 nucleotides) under uncultured Alphaproteobacteria bacterium. RNAcentral's name for it is "bacterial SSU rRNA". It matches the Rfam family "Bacterial small subunit ribosomal RNA", at positions 11 to 535 of the family's 1533-position model. Lineage: Bacteria; Pseudomonadati; Pseudomonadota; Alphaproteobacteria. The record is from RNAcentral.
GUUUGAUCCUGGCUCAGGACGAACGCUGGCGGCAGGCUUAACACAUGCAAGUCGAACGCUCNCUUCGGAGAGAGUGGCAGACGGGUGAGUAACGCGUGGGAAUCUACCCAGUACUACGGAACAACAGUUAGAAAUGACUGCUAAUACCGUAUACGCCCUCCGGGGGAAAGAUUUAUCGGUAUUGGAUGAGCCCGCGUUUGAUUAGCUAGUUGGUGAGGUAAUGGCUCACCAAGGCGACGAUCAAUAGCUGGUCUGAGAGGAUGAUCAGCCACACUGGGACUGAGACACGGCCCAGACUCCUACGGGAGGCAGCAGUGGGGAAUAUUGGACAAUGGGCGAAAGCCUGAUCCAGCCNUGCCGCGUGUGUGAUGAAGGCCCUAGGGUUGUAAAGCNCUUUCAACGGUGAAGAUAAUGACGGUAACCGUAGNAAGAAGCNCCGGCUAACUUCGUGCCAGCAGCCGCGGUAAUAAGGGCGGAAU